UCACAGUUGGAGUUCUCCAGCUCUGGAGGUGU
Molecule: non-coding RNA, 32 nt
Filed under: Macaca fascicularis (crab-eating macaque)
Lineage: Eukaryota; Metazoa; Chordata; Mammalia; Primates; Cercopithecidae
Also listed under: 1 other name
Source: RNAcentral